ACAAGUACCGUGAGGGAAAGUUGCAAAGCACUUUGAAGAGAGAGUUAAAGAGGACGUGAAACCGAUAAGGUGGAAACGGAUAGAGCCGACGUAUCUGGCCUGUAUUCAGCCGGUAACUUGUAUUUCUCUAUUAAUUCAGACCUGUUUCUGGCUGGGCUGGUGGAGUUAGUGCAUUUUCCUGGUGCAUUUACAGGUGGUGUGCGCCGAAUCUUACACGGUAGUAGCUGGAUUGUUAUUUUGAGGUCUCCUUUUGGAGAAACCCUGAUGAUUGGAAGGUUAUUUGCUGUGUAAGUAUGUCCACGGCCUACGGUUGAGCUUUUAGUAAGUUUUGGCCCUGGUUGGAGUCGCAUGCGACUUUGCCUUGGUUGAUUCUUGCUGAGGGUUAGACCUCGUGGGAGCUUUCGGUGUAAAAGUCGGUCAUCUCUCCGACCCGUCUUGAAACACGGACCAAGGAGUUUAGCAAGUGUGCGAGUCAUUGAGUGUAAAACUCAAAGGCGCAAUGAAAGUAAAGGUUUCGCUUGACGAACUAAUAUGUGACCUCGUUGGUUUCGGCCGAUGGGAGCAGCAUAGCCCCGUCCCAACUGCUUGCAGUGGGGCGGAGGAAGAGCGUACUUGCUGAGACCCGAAAGAUGGUGAACUAUGCCUGAGCAGGACGAAGCCAGAGGAAACUCUGGUGGAAGUCCGGAGCGGUUCUGACGUGCAAAUCGAUCGUCUGACUUGGGUAUAGGGGCGAAAGACUAAUCGAACCAUCUAGUAGCUGGUUCCUUCGGA
RNAcentral lists this ribosomal RNA (771 nucleotides) under Ditylenchus sp. YZYX01. Its description in RNAcentral is "partial large subunit ribosomal RNA". It matches the Rfam family "Eukaryotic large subunit ribosomal RNA", at positions 344 to 964 of the family's 3401-position model. The record is from RNAcentral. Lineage: Eukaryota; Metazoa; Nematoda; Chromadorea; Rhabditida; Anguinidae.